AAAAAGAUAAGCUAAUAAAGCUUAUAGGUUCAUACCCUGUCAAUGAAAGUCCAAUCUUUCUCUUUUUA
RNAcentral lists this transfer RNA (68 nucleotides) under Machla sappho. RNAcentral's name for it is "tRNA-Met". Lineage: Eukaryota; Metazoa; Arthropoda; Insecta; Coleoptera; Tenebrionidae. The record is from RNAcentral.